RNAcentral lists this long non-coding RNA (202 nucleotides) under Spirodela polyrhiza (greater duckweed). Its description in RNAcentral is "long non-coding RNA (SPOL_LNC001444)". The record is from RNAcentral. Lineage: Eukaryota; Viridiplantae; Streptophyta; Magnoliopsida; Alismatales; Araceae.
CGGCUUCGUCUUCCACCAUUGUUGGUGAAUGUCUUCGUCUCCCCCCUUCUCUGCAUGAUGACCAGAAGGCCCUGCUGGCUAAGUAGCGGCGGAAGAGCGCUCAGCAGUCGUCCUUGUUCGCGGUUUCAGAUGGGGCUCUCCUCGUUUCCACGGACAGUCCCCCCUCCUCCGAUAUCAAGAUACGCUACGCUGCUGAUGAGAG